RNAcentral lists this microRNA (21 nucleotides) under Ananas comosus (pineapple). Its description in RNAcentral is "microRNA s1067_c134a". The record is from RNAcentral. Lineage: Eukaryota; Viridiplantae; Streptophyta; Magnoliopsida; Poales; Bromeliaceae.
CUGAGAUCAACAAAUGCUCCC